Non-coding RNA from Schistosoma curassoni, 48 nucleotides. Lineage: Eukaryota; Metazoa; Platyhelminthes; Trematoda; Strigeidida; Schistosomatidae. The record is from Rfam.
AUCCAACUGAUGAUUCUGAAAUAGGACGAAAUGCGCAUCAAACUGGAU